Molecule: ribosomal RNA, 1194 nt
Filed under: Triticum aestivum (bread wheat)
Lineage: Eukaryota; Viridiplantae; Streptophyta; Magnoliopsida; Poales; Poaceae
Description: partial small subunit ribosomal RNA
Source: RNAcentral
AUGGAGGAGCCGAUGUCCAGGCUCGACCACGACCUAAUGGCGGAGAUCCUCUCUCGAGUGCCCUACAAAUCACUCUGCAUCUGCAAGUGUGUGUGCCCUGCCUGGCGCGACCUCAUCGCCGAUCCGGCGAAUCGGAAGAAGAUUGUGCAGUCCCUGGCCGGUUUCUUCUACCACAUCCCGGCCGACUCUGCCGAGUCCCGCGGCUUGGCCGUCAACUACGCCGACCUGUCUGCCUUCCCUUGGUCAAGCGUGCCUUCUACCUACCCGCGCUUGCCACUACCGCCAGACAGCGCAGACUGUUUCCUCACUGUCAAGGAUUCCUGCGAUGGGCUGUUUCUUACCCGGAUUGGGAGGGGCACGCCGGAGCCACAAUUUGGCUACAUGGUCUCCAAUCCAGCUACCAGUGAGUAUACUCUGCUGCCCCACUCUGGCUACGCCGGCAAGUGCUGUGGCUCUUACUUGGGCUUCGACAGUGGUGUCUCCACUCAAGAGUUUCAUGUGUUCGAGUUUGUGAUGGGAUGGCCAGACCAAGACCAGGAUGGGGUUCCCCCGGUUGUCACAGGACUCAACAUUUACUCUUCCCAAACUGGUGCAUGGGUAGCAAUGGAACCCAAAUGGGACAUCCAAGUUAGCUUGUGCGACGGUCAACUUGGAGUUUUCCGUGGGGGGUGUUUGCACCUGCUCAUACAUCUUGAUGGGCUGGCAAUUGUUGAUGCACAAGGGCUAAAAUGGAGGACCAUCCCCGUGCCAAAUUUCAUCGAUCCGAGUUUCUCGGGUUUCAUCGGAAAAUCUGCAGGACAACUGUUUUAUAUCAACUCUGACGACAGUGAAGAAGGAUAUGGCUCGACCUCAUUCUCAACUAUAUCUGUCUACGUUCUCGGUAGCGGGAUCUAUAACUGGGAUGCGUCUUAUUUGGACGACGGAUGCACGCAUUGGAUAUUGCUGCACAAGCUUUCAGAAGUGAUUCCAAAGGAGAAUUUUUGUCUCGGCUGGGACCUCAAAGUCGUCGGAGUACACCCACAUGCCAAUAUCAUCUUUAUGGCUGAUUUCAACAAUAAUGAACUGUUGGCAUAUGAUUUGGAUCAUCGUGAAAGUACAUCUGUACACCACAUUGAGCGGACCUACCUCGCGCAUGAGCAAUAUUUCCCAUAUGUGCCGCUGCUGUCCAGCCUACGGCUGGCAACUCCCAGUUGA